Non-coding RNA from Misgurnus anguillicaudatus (oriental weatherfish), 817 nucleotides. Lineage: Eukaryota; Metazoa; Chordata; Actinopteri; Cypriniformes; Cobitidae. The record is from RefSeq and is a predicted model, not a curated record.
UGCAGACAGCCUGCUGAGAGCGAUUUGGUUUUGUCGGGUGUAUCCGACGUAGACGUGAUGCAACAUGCCGCACGUAUACGCAUUCACAAUUCAUUACGAUCACUGAGGUGGUACUAAUGCCCAUUUAAUAGUUCCUCAAUUGGCCAUUAAGCAUCGGUAUAAUAGCUUCAGAAGUGAUGCGCGCAUUCUUAUUUAUUAGAGAGUUAAUUGAUACCGAAUGAAGAUUCAGCAGAUAAAACCGUCUGAUGUGCCACCUCACCUCCAGAAUCAAAAUUUAAUUUCGAAAGUCCCAAUAUAGCUGGAUGAUAUCUCUUGUGUACGUCUAUCAGCUGGUUUCUAAUUAUGAAAGGUAAACGUUUUAUUCAAAGUUAUGAAGCGCUGACAAGAGCACCCCGUUCAUUUAACCUUUGUGUGACGGAGAAAGAAUACAAAAUGUGAUUCUUUUUAGGGUAAGAGAGUAAUUUUAAUUACACCCCUAUAAUAAAAGUUAUUCAUGGGAAUUUCUUAGCGACUAGCUUGGCAGGAAUCAGCCAGUACAAUAAAGACAGGAUUUUAUUAAAAGCACCAAAAAAAUACUGUCCCCUUGGGGGCCAUAUCAUAAAGGUACGUGUCUGUGUCUGGCCUUACGCUGUAGUAAUUGGCUUUACGGUUAUCACAGCUGAUGAAAUAACCGGCUCAUCAUAUUAAUCCACAUAAAAAGCCUUUGGCACUGUUAGAGCCAACCGCACAUCGCUGUAAUUCACAAGCUUUGGCCGUAAGCAUGCCUGGGUAAGACAGAGUCUUUGGUAGCCUUUAAAAGCUGAAGACAUUUUUUUUU